UAAGGUAAAAUAAAGAACAUUUCGUGGAUGCCUUGGUAUUGGGAGAUAAUAAAGGACGUUAUAAUAAAAACGAAAUAUUAUGGAGAUUUUAUAAUAAAAAAGAACCAUAAUUAUCCAAUGGGAAAACCCAUAAUAAAUAAAAUAAAUUAUGAUAAAAUCAUAUAUCAUAAUAAAAAACUUAGUGAACUGAAACAUCUAAGUAGCUAAAGGAAUAAAAAUCAACCGAGAUUCUGUAAGUAGUGGCGAACGAACAUGGAAUUAGGGCAUUUUAGUAAUCAAUUAAUUAGAAAAGAUUGGAAAAUCUUGCCAUAGAAGGUGAAAGCCCUGUAUAAAAAAAAGUAAUUACUAAAAACUAAGUAAAACGGGACACGUGAAAUCUUGUUUGAAAAUAGGUGGACCACCAUCUAAGCCUAAAUACUCCUCAAUAACCAAUAGUGCACAAGUACCGUGAGGGAAAGGUGAAAAGAACCAAAUAGGAGUGAAAUAGAACCUGAAACGGAAUGUUUAUAAGCAGUCAUAGCAAUUAUAUAUUGUGAUGGCGUACCUUUUGCAUAAUGGGUCAGCGAGUUUAUUAAUAUAGCAAGCUUAAGUCAUUAGAUGUAGGCAUAGUAAAAACAAGUUAGAAUAUAACUAUUAGUUAUAUUAAUAAGACCCGAAAUCGAGUGAUCUAGCCAUGAACAGGUUGAAGAUGUGAUAAAACACAUUGGAGGACCGAACUCAUAUAUGUUGCAAAAUAUUGAGAUGAUUUGUGGUUAGGGGUGAAAGGCUAAUCAAACUCGAAGAUAGCUGGUUUUCCGCGAAAUCUAUUUAGGUAGAGCAUUAUAUAAUAAUUAUUCAGGGUAGAGCACUCGAUGAGCUAGGGGAACACAUAGUUUUACCAAACUCAACGAAACUCAUAAUAUGAAUAAACAUUAAAUAUAGUAGACAGACAGUGAGCGCGAAGGUUCAUAGUCAAAAGGGAAACAGCCCUGAUCGUAAGUUAAGGUCUCUAAAUAAUAACUUAGUGUGAAAAGGAUGUUGUAAAGUUAAGACAACCAUAAGGUGGGCCUGGAAGCAGCCAUCCUUUAAAGAAAGCGUAAUAGCUCAUUGGUCGAAAGCUAUACAGCACCGAAAAUGUACAGAGUCUUAAGUUAUUUACCGAAACUACGAAAAUAUUAAUUUAUAUUUGGUAGCGGAACGUUCUGUAUGUCGAUGAAGAAGAGUUGUAAAACUUUUUGGAGAUAUCAGAAGUGAGAAUGCUGACAUGAGUAGCAAUAAACAAUCAAACAUUGUCGCUGAAAGUUCAAGGUUUUCUUAUGCAUUGAUAAACAGCUAAGUAGUUAGUCGGUCUCUAAAAUGAGGACGAAAGUCAUAGUUGAUGAGAAUUAUAGAUUAAUAUUUCAUAACCUGUUGUUAAAUUACAAAUUGUUUAAGUUAAAUAAACUUAUUGAAUUGUUUAUUUAAAUAAAACAAUUUCAGGAAAAAAUUACAACAAUAAAAAGACCGUACCAAAACUGACACAGGUGAACAAGUAGAGUAUACUAAAGCGUUUGAGAUAAAAAUGUUGAAGGAACUCGGCAAAAUGACUCCGUAACUUCGGAAGAAGGAGUACCAUAUUGGUGGCACAGAGCAGGGGGUAGCGACUGUUUACUAAAAACACAGGACUCUGCGAAAUCGUAAGAUGAUGUAUAGGGUCUGACGCCUGCCCGGUGCUGGAAGAUUAAGAGGAGAGGUUUUGGCUUCGAAUUUAAGUCCCAGUAAACGGCGGCCGUAACCAUAACGGUCCUAAGGUAGCGAAAUUCCUUGUCGGGUAAGUUCCGACCUGCACGAAUGGCGUAACGACUUCCCCACUGUCUCCAACAUUUACUCAGCGAAAUUGAAUUCUCCGUGAAGAUGCGGAGUUCCAGCGGCUAGACGGAAAGACCCCGUGCACCUUUACUAUAUUUAUAUAGUGCUAAUAAAAGUUUAAUGUGUAGUAUAGGUGGUUUGCUUAUUAAAUCUUGACACAAGUCAAUUGUGAAGGCAACAUUGAAAUCCCACUCUUUAAAUCUUUUAUAGCUUAGACAAUUAUUCAUUAUCUGAAUGUUGAACUCUGUAUAAUUGAUAGUUUGACUGGGGCGGUCAUCUCCCAAAGAGUAACGGAGAUGUGCAAAGGUAAGCUCAAAUUGGUCGGAAACCAAUUGUAGAGUAUAAUGGCAUUAAGCUUGCCUGACUGUGAGACUAACAAGUCUAACAGAGACGAAAGUCGGUCAUAGUGAUCCGGUGGUUCUGCGUGGAAAGACCAUCGCUCUACGGAUAAAAGGUACGCCGGGGAUAACAGGCUAAUGACUCCCAAGAGUCCAUAUCGACGGAGUCGUUUGGCACCUCGAUGUCGGCUCAUCACAUCCUGGAGCUGAAGAAGGUUCCAAGGGUUCGGCUGUUCGCCGAUUAAAGUGGUACGUGAGCUGGGUUUAGAACGUCGUGAGACAGUUCGGUCCCUAUCUACCGUUGGUGUUGGAGAAUUGAGAGUUGCUAACUUUAGUACGAGAGGACUUAGUUGGAUAUAGCUCUUGUGUACAAGUUGUUAUGUCAAUAGCAUUGCUUGGUAGCUACCUAUAGACAGAAUAACUACUGAAUGCAUAUUAAGUAGGAAUUUUAACUCAAAACAAGUUCUCCUUUUGGAGUUGUUAUAGAUUAUAACGAUAUAGAUUAUAUGUUUAAUAAUGGUAACAUUAUUGCUAAAUAAUACUAAUUUUACUCCAAUAACCUUAUU
Molecule: ribosomal RNA, 2731 nt
Filed under: Malawimonas jakobiformis
Lineage: Eukaryota; Malawimonada; Malawimonadea; Malawimonadida; Malawimonadidae
Description: LSU rRNA
Rfam family: Bacterial large subunit ribosomal RNA
Source: RNAcentral